GCCAGGCGUGGUGGCUCACGCCUAUAAUCCCAGCACUUCAGGAGGCAGAGGUGGGUGGAUCACCUGAGAUCAGGAGUUCGGGACCAGCCUGAUUAACAUGGUGAAACCCCACCUCUA
RNAcentral lists this non-coding RNA (117 nucleotides) under Gorilla gorilla gorilla (western lowland gorilla). The record is from Rfam by way of RNAcentral. Lineage: Eukaryota; Metazoa; Chordata; Mammalia; Primates; Hominidae.